RNAcentral lists this transfer RNA (77 nucleotides) under Candidatus Onthenecus intestinigallinarum. RNAcentral's name for it is "tRNA-Ile". It matches the Rfam family "tRNA". Rfam says of the family: Transfer RNA (tRNA) molecules are approximately 80 nucleotides in length. Lineage: Bacteria; Bacillati; Bacillota; Clostridia; Eubacteriales. The record is from RNAcentral.
GGGUCACUAGCUCAGCUGGUUAGAGCACUCGCCUGAUAAGCGAGAGGUCGGUGGUUCGAGUCCACUGUGUCCCACCA